This 261-nucleotide ribosomal RNA is filed under the name uncultured bacterium. RNAcentral describes it as "partial 16S ribosomal RNA". It matches the Rfam family "Bacterial small subunit ribosomal RNA", at positions 94 to 354 of the family's 1533-position model. The record is from RNAcentral.
UUAGGCGGACGGGUGAGUAACGCGUGGAAACCCUGCCGUAUACUGGGGGAGUAACACUUAGAAAUAGGUGCUAAUACCGCAUAAGCGCACAGCUUCGCAUGAAGCGGUGUGAAAAACUCUGGUGGUAUACGAUGGUUCCGCGUCUGAUUAGCUAGUUGGUGGGGUAAUGGCCUACCAAGGCAACGAUCAGUAGCCGGCCUGAGAGGGUGAACGGCCACAUUGGGACUGAGACACGGCCCAAACUCCUACGGAAGGCAGCAG